Long non-coding RNA from Canis lupus familiaris (dog), 3674 nucleotides. RefSeq lists it as uncharacterized. Lineage: Eukaryota; Metazoa; Chordata; Mammalia; Carnivora; Canidae. The record is from RefSeq and is a predicted model, not a curated record. The transcript has 6 exons.
GGGAACCUGUCUGGAGUGGUUAUGGUUUCUUCUUAGCUCUUGUUCUUUAGAAUGGGAGUAGCAAAUAUUCAGCGCCACCGCCCUUCCCUUACAGUGUAUGUGUCCCAAACUACAGUCUCAGUGAGCACCAGUCAACUAAGAUCCAGAAGCAGAUGAUCCUCCUGACCUACCAUCAGAAGGCCAAGAGUGACUAAUGCUACAUCACAACGCCUGUGUCAUUCAUCUCAUCAUGGAGGCAUUUUAUCACAUCAUCACGAGAAGAAUUCUUCAUAGAUGGCCCAUUCAGGAGGAGAGGAAUGAAUUAGUUGUGUACAGUUGUCCUGCCACAUGCCUAAAGUUUACAUUCCAACUUCUGGUCAACAACACUAGAACAGGAAAGAACUAAAGCAGCAAGUCUCUAAACACUUAACAGCUCAGAAUGCCCUACAAUCAGCUGCAUUAUUCAAGCUAUGAGGAACUUUGUUAUGUACCAUCUUUUCAUUACUGCAGCAUCUUCCAUCUGUUGGCUAACUGAAUACAAGUAUCUACUGUUGGAAAAUUCUGAAAAUCCCAUGAAGAAAGCUAUCGUGAAACAGCUUCAGAUGGAGAGAUCACAGUAAACCUGGGGAAAUGGAAUUUUUGAGUUUGAUGCGGAAGCAUGGUUUGGGUUUAAAGACUUAGAGAGGAAUCAAAGACACUUCAGGAGGAUAGAAUAGCACAAAGCCAAAGGGCAGAGAUGAAAAAGCAUGGAGCACUACAGGGGAGAAUAGUCUACAUGAAUGGAGUAAAGAAAUCCGACCAUGGAAUUAGAUACAAGAGAGACUCACGAAGAGCCUUGAAUGGCAGCUGGAAAAGUUUGUUCUGUGGAGUGGGAAACCUGGAAGAAUGGUAAAUUGGUAAAAUUACAUUUUUUCAAUGACCUAUGCUUUAGGAAACCUAAUAUGUCUCAACUAGUAAACAAGACUAAUCUGAUUUACUUCUAAUGGAAUUUUAAUAGUUUUAAUUUUAAUUAUUACAAAAACUGUUCUCAGAUCUGUGAUCUUACAUCUAGUCACUGUGUGAUGGUGUGUGAUGGUGGAAACCAGAACAUAUAUCUAAGAUUAUAACUACUCAUGCUGUUGGGCUUUCAUUUUGUACUUAUCUCAUAUGUUUUAGAAACAAAUAUUAAGAGCAAUCAUCUCUGGAGAGACUGCCACUUAUUAACAGUUCAUAUGCAGUAUACUGGGGACAGCUACUUGCUUGUUUUAAAAGCAAUAUAUUUCAUUCUCUCAAGGAAAAUUUUAAAUCAAACUAUAAAGGCUCAUUUAAAAAAAAUCAACUCAUCCAGGACAAUUGUUACAACUGGGUGAUUAGACACAUAUCCACCAAAUACACAACAACCUCGCAAUUUACUUAGAUAAGAAAAUAAAUUCUUGUCCUAUAUUUACUGACUUUUGGAAAGUCCCAAAUUCACCAAACCUUGGUUUCCCAAGUUAUAAAAUAAAGAUGAGAACUUUUCUAUAUUGUUGGUUUGUGAGACCACAACCAUAUUCUAUUCACAAAAUUACCAAUGGAGGUACUAAUACAGAUUCAGGAGAGGGGAGGAGCACUGUGUUUGGAAAUUAUACUAGGCACACACCCAAAUGAGAAAGACAUGGCUAGUUUUGGAACUUUUCAGCAGAGUUGGGAAAGUCAGGUCUGGAUGACGACCUUCUUUUAUACCGAGUAUGUCUCUUUUCUCUUCUGUUGAUUCUACGUUACAAAUAUUUAAUUUUUGAUAAGUCUAAGGCUAUAGGUAUAAUUUCAGAGAACAAUAUUGAUCCAGAUUUGACAAUAAAACCCCAUUUUUAAUAGAUUCUUGGCUAUUAACUUAAUGGAGAGUAUAAUCUUUAGGGAAAGAUCUGGUUCAAAUUCUGGUUUUCCCAGUGACUAGAUGUAUGACCUUGGGAAAGUUCCUUUACCUGACUAAAUGUCAUUUUCCUCAAUAAGAAAAUGGGAAUUUAAAAUUCCUAAUUCAUUGGGUUCUCUCAAGGAUUAAAUGAUACAUGUAAAGCUCUUUGCAGAGUAAACCCUUACUAUGAGCUAACAAGAUUUCAAAAGCUAGAAUAGUUUAUACUAUACUUUUACUAAAUAACUCCCUUCAUUUCAGAGGCUUUAUAAAAUAGUCAAUUCUUCCAUCACAACAGUCUCUAGGACAGCUGUCCUUCGGGAAAUUUCUUAGUGAUCCAGCCGUGAUCUAUGUUGGAUCUAUAUCCCCUCAACCAUGGCUACUGAGCCAGGAGAAAAGAGCACAGAGAACACACACCUGCUCUUAAAAGCUUUCGCUGGGGGCGGGGGAGGGGGGCAAUGUAACUUUCACUCAUAGCUCAUUGGCUAGAAGGAAUCACCUGGCCCUGCUGAACCAGGAGAAUGCCAGGACUUGUAGCACUUCCCUCUGCCCAGAAAGGACAAGGGAACUGGAUAAUAAUAUUAUACAUCAUAACUGAGAAAGCUACUCCAAUACAAAAAAAGAACAAGAUAUUGCAUUUUUAGGAAAUCACAUUGUCACUGAAAUAUUAAGAAUUAUCAAGGCAAAUGGAAUUUAAAUAAUUCUUUCUGUGGUAUGAAAGCCUUCACUGACAGAGGGAGCUAAAUGUAGAUAAAUUAGAUUACUAAACCAAAAGGAAGAAAACUUGAUUUUGGGUCCUGGCUUGGCUAUUGUGAUGAGUAACUUUGGGUGGGGCAUUAAAUUUCUCAUUUUCUUAAACUUUAAAUCAGUAAAAAUAGUCCUUUCCCAGUGUACAUCACUGUUAUGAGGUUAAAAUAAAUCUUGGAGAGAAAGUACUUUUAGAGACAGACUUAGUGGCAAGGACUGCCAGCUCCUUACAUCUUCCUGGGAAGGCAAUCCAACCACAUUUUCUAGCUUCCUUUGUCUUAGAAGUGGCCACAAAAGCAAUUCUGGUCAAUACAAUGGUAUUGGAAGGUCCUUGUACCUCUUCUUGGCCAAGCUGGUGAAGAAGCUUGUAGGUCUCCUCCUUGCUGUCUUUCCCUCUCUGCUGGCUGGAUGCAGAAGAGGAUGGAGGCCAGAAAGGACGACAGACCACUAGAAGAAAGGAGUCCGGGUCCGUAUCUGAUCGACGGAAAUGGAGCUGCCCUACACCCAAGGACACCUUCCUGGAACUGGCAUGUAAACAGGUGGCCUGGAUACCAUGCCCAACCAUGUCAAAUGGCCUAAACAAUAUCCCCCACCAUGCGGUCAAGUAUGCUAAGACAAUAUUUUCUUUGCUCUAGACAGCAAUGAUGAACUUUAAAUGAAGAGUCCUGUGUGACAGCACAGGUCACGUAUCCACAAAAUUGAUCCUGUCUAAAAUGUCAGUUAACCAAACAUUCUACUUCACGGAAAAAUCUGAGAAUUAAAAUUAUGUAGUGGAUGUUUGUUUUAGAACUUACUUGCUAUUCCCCAGCUUCUUAUGGUGAUUAGAUGUCUUCCAAAUGAAUCAUGGCUUUCCAGAGAAAAACUCAGUCUUCAAAUAGGUCUCUAAGGAAGUGUGUUUGCAAUGGUGUGCAAGGGACAGUGUGCAAUUUUAUUUGUUCACGGCUUUCCCUUUGGAUGUACUCCAGUGCCCAUUCAUGUGUCUAAUCGAAAACAAGUAAAAUCCCCACCACACUGAAACUAAAUCUUUCAGGGCACUAGAAGACUCUUUAAUACAUGGAUAAUACAGUUUGAGAUUUUGAAG